UGCUAAUUGAGAAUAUGUAUUAUGUUCCAAUAACAUUUUAAGAAUAUUUCUACUAAUGCUUGGUAAUUUUUUUUCCACAUUUGCAUAAGUUUGAUAUAAGUUCAUCUCCUGACAUAGCAUUUUUAGAGCAGAAUUAAUUCCUCAGUAUACAACUACCUUAGUUCAAAUUCAUAUCAACUAAGACUUAAACACAAAUUUGGUUAGACAGCCCAAUGCUUUUUUAAUUUGUUUGAUAAUAUUCCUCAGAUCAAGUUGCAGAGAUCUAAAUGAUGCAUAAAUCAAGAAAAAAAAACAGUAUUCAUAUUGAUGGAACCAUCAUCUAAUAGAUACAAGCAAAAUAUAAAAACUAAAACAAGGAAGUGUUGUUAUAAAUGUUGGAGAUCAACAGUACAUCACAUUGCUCUAGAAAUAGAGUAUCAUAAAGACUUCUGAAGCCAUCUCCUAUGAGCAACAGGUAGAGCUUGAAAGGUACAUAUAAAGAGCUGUACAGCAAGAUGUCUUAUAGUUGCUUAGUUGAAGUUAUAUUGUAAAGAGACUUAAAAUACUUUGAUUUAGCUUAUUUAAAAUUAAAUUAUUUGCUUCUUUUGAUAUAUAUGCAUAAUAUGGAAUAGACCAGCUAUGAAACUAAAGGUAAACCAGCGAAGCAUGUAAUCUAAUUAUUUUUGCUUUCUUCAAGUUUUAUGCAUGCCAAUUAAUGUGUUUCCAGUGUUCAAGUGAAUUAAAAUAACUAUUUCAAUGAUUAGUUUUGUAUGUUGGUAAAAAAAAACUUUGAUAAAACUCCCAUAAAUUAACAGAGCAUAUACAGAACAAUUUCAAUAAUAAUACUAAAUACUAGCUUUGUACAAAAUACAAUGAUAUAGAAAGAUAAUAUUAAAUAUCUAGACUAGAUAUUUUUUAUAGUAAUUACAGUAUUUUUUAAUAGCUAUACAUUUUUAAGUAAACUAUUUGUUUUGUUUUUUUUAUUUCAAAUGCUGAGCAUACAUAACUAAACUGGAAGAACAGAUGAAGUCCAAAACGCUAAAGUAACAGACAACCCAGAUCAAGAUAAAGUUCCUCCUGUUGAUUUACAGACCAAGAUGAAGAACAUCCUGCUGAUUCACAGACCAAAAUAAAGUUCCUCCUGAUGAUUUACAGACACUUGUAUGGGCUGCUACUUGUGAUUAAGAACUGACUUCAAAUGAUAGCAAGAGGAUGAUUUAAGCAUACAUAACUAAACUGGAAGAACAGAUGAAGUCCAAAACGCUAAAGCAACAGACAACCCAGAUCAAGAUAAAGUUCCUCCUGCUGAUUUACAGACCAAGAUGAAGAACAUCCUGCUGAUUCACAGACCAAAAUAAAGUUCCUCCUGAUGAUUUACAGACACUUGUAUGGGCUGCUACUUGUGAUUAAGAACUGACUUCAAAUGAUAGCAAGAGGAUGAUUUAAGCAUACAUAACUAAACUGGAAGAACAGAUGUAGUCCAAACUGCUAAAUGAACAGACAACCCAGAGAUCAAGAUAAAGUAGGCUAAAUCCUGCUGGUCAGACCAAGAUAAAGAACAUCCUGAUGAUUCAUAGACCAAAAUAAAGUUCCUCCUGAUGAUUUACAGACACUUGUAUGGGCUGCUACUUGUGAUUAAGAACUGACUUCAAAUGAUAGCAAGAGGAUGAUUUAAGCAUACAUAACUAAACUGGAAGAACAGAUGAAGUCCAAACUGCUAAAUGAACAGACAACCCAGAUUCAGAUACAAAUUGUUGCUGUUCCAGAAGUAGUGCAUUUGCCAACAUAGUAAAGUCAUUGGAGUCAUUAACUUAUGAGUGAUGUUCAUAAAGUUUGUACUCAAAUGUUUGGCAAGUUCACAAUGCUAGCAACACUUGCUCAGUAAUGUUACCUACUAUCAGAUGUUGGGGAAAAAACUUUUCAUUUGUGGUAGUCUCAAGAAAAUAUCCAAAUGUUUUGGUCAGUGUAUUCUGAGUGAAACAACUGAAGGUCGUUCAGCACUAUAGAAAUGUGUACAUGUCUACUGGCCUCGCUAUGAAGAUAGAGAGUAAGCUACAUCCUAUUGCUCUAGAAAAAGAACAGUCUACAGAUGAUUGGAACUAGCUCCUUUGGGCUUGAAAACUUCAUAUAUAAAAAAAUAUGCAGCAAGUCAGUCUCUCAAGUUAUUUGAAUAGAUCAAGUAGUGGAGCAUAGAGAUGGAGUAACAGGCAAGAAGUAGAGAUAUCAAAAACUGUGCAAUCAAGUUGCAGACCCAAUCGAUCUUAGCAUACAGUUGAAUGGAACAAUUAUCUACUUAGAACAGUCAAACUAUAGAAGCUACAUGUCCACAAGUUGUUUUUUUUUUUUCCUUUAAGG
This is a long non-coding RNA of Biomphalaria glabrata, 2334 nucleotides long. RefSeq lists it as uncharacterized. The transcript has 14 exons. The record is from RefSeq and is a predicted model, not a curated record. Lineage: Eukaryota; Metazoa; Mollusca; Gastropoda; Planorbidae.